GACAGAUGGGAGCUUGCUCCCUGAUGUUAGCGGCGGACGGGUGAGUAACACGUGGGUAACCUGCCUGUAAGACUGGGAUAACUCCGGGAAACCGGGGCUAAUACCGGAUGGUUGUUUGAACCGCAUGGUUCAGACAUAAAAGGUGGCUUCGGCUACCACUUACAGAUGGACCCGCGGCGCAUUAGCUAGUUGGUGAGGUAACGGCUCACCAAGGCGACGAUGCGUAGCCGACCUGAGAGGGUGAUCGGCCACACUGGGACUGAGACACGGCCCAGACUCCUACGGGAGGCAGCAGUAGGGAAUCUUCCGCAAUGGACGAAAGUCUGACGGAGCAACGCCGCGUGAGUGAUGAAGGUUUUCGGAUCGUAAAGCUCUGUUGUUAGGGAAGAACAAGUGCCGUUCAAAUAGGGCGGCACCUUGACGGUACCUAACCAGAAAGCCACGGCUAACUACGUGCCAGCAGCCGCGGUAAUACGUAGGUGGCAAGCGUUGUCCGGAAUUAUUGGGCGUAAAGGGCUCGCAGGCGGUUUCUUAAGUCUGAUGUGAAAGCCCCCGGCUCAACCGGGGAGGGUCAUUGGAAACUGGGGAACUUGAGUGCAGAAGAGGAGAGUGGAAUUCCACGUGUAGCGGUGAAAUGCGUAGAGAUGUGGAGGAACACCAGUGGCGAAGGCGACUCUCUGGUCUGUAACUGACGCUGAG
This 699-nucleotide ribosomal RNA is filed under the name Bacillus sp. b27(2010). RNAcentral's name for it is "bacterial SSU rRNA". It matches the Rfam family "Bacterial small subunit ribosomal RNA", at positions 68 to 750 of the family's 1533-position model. The record is from RNAcentral. Lineage: Bacteria; Bacillati; Bacillota; Bacilli; Caryophanales; Bacillaceae.